UUUUCAUUCAUAUAUCAUUCAUAACACGUCUAGUUAGGAGCAUUUGAUUCAUUUCGAUCAUAGCAUCCUAAUUAUUUGGCAUAAGCAUGGUUACUUGGAACCGAUUCUAUAGACAAUACCCCUAGAGGAUGGUGUAGCAACAACGGCGAAUUCGCAGAUCUUGACCCCCUAAGCAGUAGGGAAAUAUAUCGAAGAUGAUGGGCUUUAACCCCCUAAGCAGUAGGGUAACAAGCCGAAUUUACAAGCCUUAACCCCCUAAGCAGUAGGGUAACAGGCUGAAGAUUUACAAAUCUUAACCCCCUAACCAGUAGGGAAACAGAUCGAAGACGAAGGGUCUUAAACCCCUAAGCAGUAGGGUAACAGACCGAAUUGUAGAUCUUAUCUCCCUAAGCAUUAGUGGAGAUAAUCGAAGACGAAGAACCUUAAACCCCUAAGCAGUAGGGCAACAGGUUAAAUUCACAGAUCUUAUCACCCUAAGUAGUAGGGAAACUGAUCGAAGACGAUGGGCCUUAACCUCUUGAGUAGUAGGGUAAUAGGCUAGAAAUCAAAUAUCUUCUUCCUGAAAUGGCGUUGGAGCGGCUAAAAGCCACAGCAGAUCUCCUUGAAGUUUCAGCGAACCUCUUCUUCCUGAAAUGGCGUUGGAGCGGCUAAAAGCCACAAUAGAUCUCCUUGAAGUUUCAGCGGAAGAAGAUCAAAACAAGUCUUAUCCCCCUGAAGUUGCAGAGGAGCAGACUGAAGAUAGCAGAUCUGACAUUCCUAUCCUUAUAGUGAAGCAGAUUGGAGAUUCCAGCAUCGUAUCCCUGUGUUUAUAGGGAACAAGUUGAAGAUGACAGAUUUGGAGUCUCUGUAUUAGACGGGGAGCAGAUCAAAGAUAGAAGAUAUCGCAUUCCUGAGUUGCAGUAAAGCAGAUUGCAGCUGUCAAGAGGCCAUUUAAAGAAGAUCAAGGAUCAAGAACUCAUGACUCGGCGAGCCCGGGCAAAAUUGGUCCUUCUAUAAUCUUUGCUCCAUUCUCGUUACACGACAAUGAGCAAAGAGGGGCAGCUGUAAGGCCUAAAUUUUAACCGGGCCCGAUAUAACAAAACCAAGUAACCAAAUAUAAGAGUCCAAUAGCCCAAAUCCAAUAACCCAAACCCAAUUUAUAAACCCUAAUAGCCCAAGCCCACUAUGUUAAAAAAAUUUUCAGUAGCCACCAAAGUUUUCAGCCGCAUGCCUUCAGCCACCAGCCUUCUCACGCCCGCCACCACCGCUCGGGGCGCCAAUCACCGGCCUUCCACGCGUCUGACACUCUCAUGACCUGCAAACAUUUGGAAAAGAGGAAAAAUGGCAGCAAGAAGCACAAGCAGUAGCAAAAAAUAAAACAACAAUAUUUUAAUAUAGGAAUCGGCUAUAAAGCCGAAAUGAAACUGAUUGUAACGGGGACGCACAUUUGAAUCAAAGAACAGAAAAAAAUUUAAUGGUUGAUCUCUGAUUUAUUUUUUUUUCUUUGUUUUCAUUUCGGUCUUUCAUCUCUUUAAAUUUCUUUUUAUUUAUACUACAAAUCUAAAAAACAAAAAGGGUAUAAAAUCAAAGAAGGGGACUUACCCGAAUCGAAGUGACCGUCGUCGGAGAUCGCUCCUCUGUCGUCGGAUUCGACCCGAAGAGGUCGUAGAGGGUUCCUUCUUUGGAUAUUCUUUGGUCGAGGAAGUUUUUGCUGUUGAGUUCGCCUUAAAUACGGGCUUGAAAGCCCGGUUUACACCCCAACCACCGCCUGUGGUGGCGCUGCGGUGAAGGUGGCGAUGAAGGUUCUAAGAACCCUAGCCGAAAGGAGCAGGGAGAGGGAGAGA
This 1823-nucleotide long non-coding RNA is filed under the name Gossypium barbadense (sea-island cotton). RNAcentral describes it as "long non-coding RNA (GBAR_LNC012277)". The record is from RNAcentral. Lineage: Eukaryota; Viridiplantae; Streptophyta; Magnoliopsida; Malvales; Malvaceae.